GCCCUCCUAGCUCAAUCGGAAGAGCGUGGGACUUUUAAGCAUUGUUCUCACUAGACAAUGUUCAAAGUCAAUCCCAAGGUCGUGAGUUCGAGCCUCACGGAGGGCG
This 106-nucleotide transfer RNA is filed under the name Dactylellina haptotyla CBS 200.50. It matches the Rfam family "tRNA". Rfam says of the family: Transfer RNA (tRNA) molecules are approximately 80 nucleotides in length. Their secondary structure includes four short double-helical elements and three loops (D, anti-codon, and T loops). The record is from Rfam by way of RNAcentral. Lineage: Eukaryota; Fungi; Ascomycota; Orbiliomycetes; Orbiliales; Orbiliaceae.